This 74-nucleotide transfer RNA is filed under the name Fuerstiella sp. RNAcentral's name for it is "tRNA-Met". It matches the Rfam family "tRNA". From Rfam's summary of the family: Transfer RNA (tRNA) molecules are approximately 80 nucleotides in length. Lineage: Bacteria; Pseudomonadati; Planctomycetota; Planctomycetia; Planctomycetales; Planctomycetaceae. The record is from RNAcentral.
CGUGGGGUAGAACAGUCUGGUAGUUCGCGGGGCUCAUAACUCCGAGGUCGCCGGUUCAAAUCCGGUCCCCACCA